This 334-nucleotide long non-coding RNA is filed under the name Androctonus crassicauda. Lineage: Eukaryota; Metazoa; Arthropoda; Arachnida; Scorpiones; Buthidae. The record is from RNAcentral.
AUCACAGAUAGAUUGGACAAAUUAGAGCCACAAUUAGAAAGAACAAACUUAGGAACACCAAUAGUUCCACGACAAACAAUGGCAACGCAGAGGCAAUAUAUGCAAUACACUCCCAGGUACAGGCCACAUAUGGCGUUACAGUAUAGAAAUUGUAAUCAUAAUCAGCCGCGUUACACAAUUAGAAAUUCACAGUUUCGUUCGCAGGUAACUGAAAGACCGAGAUUUACUCCGAGAUUUAAUACGCCACGAAAUAACGAACGGGGUCCGCGCUUUGGAUAUCAACCGUCGCGUCCGUUGGAAAAUCAACGUCAACUCUCUACACAACAAAAUUAUU